RNA transcript from Coffea eugenioides, 1103 nucleotides. It is a transcript of the gene named LRR receptor-like serine/threonine-protein kinase ERECTA, with no coding region annotated. The transcript is spliced from 12 exons. The record is from RefSeq and is a predicted model, not a curated record. Lineage: Eukaryota; Viridiplantae; Streptophyta; Magnoliopsida; Gentianales; Rubiaceae.
AUUUGCUAAUCCAACAGCAUGGAAUUAUCCUCAAGCAAUAUGAAAUAUAUUUGCAUGCUGAAAGGCGAAUUGCAAAUGAUCCUCAAUCUUAGGGAGAUUGGACCCCGAAUAAACAAGCCUGUAGCUUUACUGCUCUCAAUUGAUCUAAGGGGAAAUCGUCUUUCUGGACAAAUCCCAGACGAGAUUGGUGAUUGUUCUGCUUUGACAAGCUUGGAUUUUUCCUUCAACGAGCUGUAUGGGGAUAUUCCCUUUUCAAUCUCCAAGCUGAAACAACUAGAAUUCUUGAUCUUGAAAAAUAAUCAGUUGAUUGGUCCAAUUCCUUCUACACUAUCUCAGAUUCCUAACUUGAAAAAACUGUACCAUUCCAGUGACUUGGCACAAAAUAGUUUGAGCGGAGAAAUACCAAGACUCAUAUAUUGGAAUGAAGUACUGCAAUAUUUGGGUUUGCGUGGGAACAAGUUGGUUGGAACUCUCUCACCAAAUAUGUGUCAGCUCACGGGCCUGUGGUACUUUUGUCUGUUCAGUGAUGUCCGAAACAACAGCUUGACUGGUUCUAUUCCAGAGAAUAUUGGAAAUUGUACAGCCUUCCAGGUUUUGGAUUUGUCGUAUAAUCAGUUGACUGGUGAGAUUCCCUUCAAUAUCGGUUUCUUGCAAGUGGAUACCUUUGGAACAAAAAGAAGCUCGUCGAGUCACACAGAGGGAAGCUUAUCAAAAGAGAAAGCAAGAAAAGCAGCUACAUCAAGGUCUUCUAUAAACCAACAAGAAAGUGUAGAAGAAGUUCCAGUUUCAUGUGAGCUGCUGCAAAACAGUGACUACAAUAACCAGCAGCCUAUUGUUAUUGAGCCACUUCUACAACAGAAUGGAAAAAAAGGGCUGAUAGGCAACAAUGUAUUGCUAUCGAACCAGUUGUACAACAAAAUUCCAAUGAUAACUUUUUGUUUAAAGUCAUUACUCAGUCAGAAGGCAAGCUAAAGAAACAUGUUUCUGUAUUGUCAACAUUUGAAGAAGGUAUAUCUAUAAUAAUACCUCGGUAUACAAUGAAAGCCAGUGUUUCACAUGAUGUGAAAAAUCCUCCUAGAGGAAGCAGAGAAAUAGGAUAUGGA